This 395-nucleotide long non-coding RNA is filed under the name Lathyrus oleraceus (garden pea). Its description in RNAcentral is "Pisum sativum (pea) long non-coding RNA (PSAT_LNC011740)". Lineage: Eukaryota; Viridiplantae; Streptophyta; Magnoliopsida; Fabales; Fabaceae. The record is from RNAcentral.
AUCAGAGACGUCAAAGGUUCACGGUGAAAGCUGUAGGAACAAGUCUUCCGCUUCAACUCUGGGACUGUUGCCAUCUCUAUCAGUGAACAAGCUCUGGAAUGUACCUGAGAAAUGAUAUGCAUGCAGGGAUUAGUUCUUUUUUUCUUUUUUUUCUUUUUUUUUGUUUUUUUUGUAUCCCUUUUUUAUUGCGUUUCUUUUGAAAAAUAAAUAUGCUAUGAUGCAAAUGAUGCAGACACGACUGGUUGGCUGUGUCCCUCGGAACACAGGAUCAAAGCUUCGGCUUGAACUCGGAACCACAAAUUCAUCUGAAACCCAAAGUCAUUUGAGACCCCAAAAUUCUGAACCAAUAGUCACCAACAGGAUCACAAGUCACCAACAAGUCACCAACAAGUCAC